This 603-nucleotide ribosomal RNA is filed under the name Coprinellus radians. RNAcentral describes it as "LSU rRNA". It matches the Rfam family "Eukaryotic large subunit ribosomal RNA", at positions 62 to 649 of the family's 3401-position model. Lineage: Eukaryota; Fungi; Basidiomycota; Agaricomycetes; Agaricales; Psathyrellaceae. The record is from RNAcentral.
AAACUAACAAGGAUUCCCCUAGUAACUGCGAGUGAAGCGGGAAAAGCUCAAAUUUAAAAUCUGGCGGUCUUUGGCCGUCCGAGUUGUAAUCUAGAGAAGUGUUACCCGCGUCGGACCGUGUACAAGUCUCCUGGAAUGGAGCGUCAUAGAGGGUGAGAAUCCCGUCUUUGACACGGACYACCGAGGCUUUGUGGUGCGCUCUCAAAGAGUCGAGUUGUUUGGGAAUGCAGCUCAAAAUGGGUGGUAAAUUCCAUCUAAAGCUAAAUAUUGGCGAGAGACCGAUAGCGAACAAGUACCGUGAGGGAAAGAUGAAAAGAACUUUGGAAAGAGAGUUAAACAGUACGUGAAAUUGCUGAAAGGGAAACGCUUGAAGUCAGUCGCGUUGUCCGGGAAUCAGCCUUCCUUCUGGUUGGUGUWSUUCCUGGUUGACGGGCCAGCAUCAGUUUUGACCGGUGGAAAAAGUUCGAGGGAAUGKGGCACCUCCGGGUGUGUUAUAGCCCUCGUUCGUAUACAUCGGUUGGGACUGAGGAACUCAGCACGCCGCAAGGCCGGGAUUCGUCCACGUUCGUGCUUAGGAUGCUGGCAUAAUGGCUUUAAUCGACC